Molecule: ribosomal RNA, 113 nt
Filed under: Chloroflexota bacterium
Lineage: Bacteria; Bacillati; Chloroflexota
Description: partial 16S ribosomal RNA
Rfam family: Bacterial small subunit ribosomal RNA
Source: RNAcentral
AAUUUUUUAGAGAGUUUGAUCCUGGCUCAGGGUGAACGCUGGCGGCAUGUUUAAGGCAUGCAAGUUGAAUGUUGUUUUUAACAACAUGGCAAACGGGAGAGUAACACAUUGGU